Long non-coding RNA from Homo sapiens (human), 4671 nucleotides. RefSeq annotates it as SEPT5-GP1BB readthrough. The record is from RefSeq and is marked validated. NCBI's taxonomy places the organism in Eukaryota, Metazoa, Chordata, Mammalia, Primates, Hominidae. The transcript has 12 exons.
GUUCUAAUGUGCAGGGGCUUGGCCUGACCAGUCCUACCCUGGAACCUUUCCAGGCCCCAUGUCCUGCUCCGCUGGGCUUGCCUGUUGGGAUUCUACUGGGGUCAUGGAGGUGGGUGGCCCACAGAGCGGAGCUCGGGAGACCCCCGCAGUCCCUGGAGUAGCCACAUGGGAGGGAGGCCCGGCUGGCAGGAGCUCCCAGUCCCUCCAAUCCUGUGGGUCAGAGCUGGUGAGGAUGCUCAGAGGGCAAGGGAAUGUCCACAGAAGCACGUGGGAGAUGGGUCCCAUCCCACCCCCACCCCUGUCUCUGAGGGCAGGGCCACCUGAGGGCUGCAGGGCAGCGCAUGGGUGGCCGGCGUUUAUUCAGCAGGCUGGCGGGGGCUUCCAAGUUUUGCAGGGACCUCCAGUACUCCGGCAGCCUGCACCCUUCCUUUCCCUUCCCUUCCCUUCUGUCCACCCUAAGCCUCCUAGGGGACAGGCAGGCUGGACUUCAGAAAAGGUGGGCUCUGCCCUCCUCCGGUCCCCCGAAUGUCUUGGGAAAGAGUCCACCAAACACACAUGCACACACCCGCGCACACGCACAUACCCAAUGCAUGCACACACGUACACACACACGCAUACACGCAUGUAUACACGCGCACACACGCAGGCAUUACACACACACACAUUACACACACACACCCGCACGGACGCGCACACACAAACGCGCGCACGCACGCACGCACGCACGGGGGAGGUCAGCCCCAAGCAGGGCUGGGGAGGGGUGCAGGGCGCGGCGUGUCUGUGGGCACUUGGGGCGUCGAGACGCCGCCGGGAGGUUUUCGGGCAAGUCUGCGAGAAGACGGCGGGCCCUGAACUGGGCGGGUACCCGCGCUGUUGCGCGUGGGUCCCGGGAGCGGCCUCCGGCGCCCUCUGGCGGGCGGAAGCCGCGCAGCACCUCUUGGGGGCGGGACGCGCGGUGGCUACCGACUCCCGGCCCGCCCCGGCCCGCGUGCAGGACCCGGUCGUCCCCUCCUGCUGUCCUGGAGCCCGGACUGAGGCCCCGGGGGCGCGGCAGGGCUCCCGGUCCACGCGAGCCAUGGCCCGACCGCGCCUCGGCUCAGCCCUGCCCUCCGCAGCCGCUUUCGGGUGGCUCCGCCCGCGGCCCAAUUUCCAGGCGACCGUUUCCCGGCGACGGCGGGCGGGGCCGUCUCUGCCGCCCCCCGCCGCGCGCUCCGCGGGCGCCUGCGACGCCCCGCCUCUGGCUCGGGUGCGGGAGCGGGGCCUGCCCGGACUGCGACGCCGCCACAGCUUGGGGCCAGUUCGCCCAGUCAGGGGGAUGGCUCGGUCGGCCUCGGGGGUCGACGAUCCCCCGGGUAGGCGACGUGCCCUGUCCAGGCCUCACUUCCCGCGUCCGCAAAACGGGGUGGACAACGCAGCCUAAGGCAGAGCCGCGCCAAGGUCCCUCGCUGUCGCCGGGCUCUGGCGGCCUGACCGGGCCUGGGGUCCGAGCGUGCCCCCGGGCCUGGGGGGGUCGCCGCGAUGGACUCGCUGGCAGCGCCCCAGGACCGCCUGGUGGAGCAGCUGCUGUCGCCGCGGACCCAGGCCCAGAGGCGGCUCAAGGACAUUGACAAGCAGUACGUGGGCUUCGCCACACUGCCCAACCAGGUGCACCGCAAGUCGGUGAAGAAAGGCUUUGACUUCACACUCAUGGUGGCUGGUGAGUCAGGCCUGGGGAAGUCCACACUGGUCCACAGCCUCUUCCUGACAGACUUGUACAAGGACCGGAAGCUGCUCAGUGCUGAGGAGCGCAUCAGCCAGACGGUAGAGAUUCUAAAACACACGGUGGACAUUGAGGAGAAGGGAGUCAAGCUGAAGCUCACCAUCGUGGACACGCCGGGAUUCGGGGACGCUGUCAACAACACCGAGUGCUGGAAGCCCAUCACCGACUAUGUGGACCAGCAGUUUGAGCAGUACUUCCGUGAUGAGAGCGGCCUCAACCGAAAGAACAUCCAAGACAACCGAGUGCACUGCUGCCUAUACUUCAUCUCCCCCUUCGGGCAUGGGCUGCGGCCAGUGGAUGUGGGUUUCAUGAAGGCAUUGCAUGAGAAGGUCAACAUCGUGCCUCUCAUCGCCAAAGCUGACUGUCUUGUCCCCAGUGAGAUCCGGAAGCUGAAGGAGCGGAUCCGGGAGGAGAUUGACAAGUUUGGGAUCCAUGUAUACCAGUUCCCUGAGUGUGACUCGGACGAGGAUGAGGACUUCAAGCAGCAGGACCGGGAACUGAAGGAGAGCGCGCCCUUCGCCGUUAUAGGCAGCAACACGGUGGUGGAGGCCAAGGGGCAGCGGGUCCGGGGCCGACUGUACCCCUGGGGGAUCGUGGAGGUGGAGAACCAGGCGCAUUGCGACUUCGUGAAGCUGCGCAACAUGCUCAUCCGCACGCAUAUGCACGACCUCAAGGACGUGACGUGCGACGUGCACUACGAGAACUACCGCGCGCACUGCAUCCAGCAGAUGACCAGCAAACUGACCCAGGACAGCCGCAUGGAGAGCCCCAUCCCGAUCCUGCCGCUGCCCACCCCGGACGCCGAGACUGAGAAGCUUAUCAGGAUGAAGGAUGAGGAACUGAGGCGCAUGCAGGAGAUGCUGCAGAGGAUGAAGCAGCAGAUGCAGGACCAGUGACGCUCGCCGCGGACACACCGUCCGUCUCCGGGACGCCCUCGCACCCCUGGACACCAGACCGGACUGUUCCCGACCCGGAGACGCGGGGCCACAGCCCCCAGCUGACCCUAAUUUAUUCUCAGCACCACCCCCUCCCAGGUCAUUGUGUCUGUUUCCGAGGGGCCUGGACCGUAGCCCCCGCCCAGCUGGCCCUCUCUGACCUUGGGGGAUCAGGAGCGAAGUUGGGCGGGACUUCAGAGAUCCGCCUCCCUUGCCCUUCCCCCGCCCCCGGACGGUCACAGCACCCAAACCGCAGGCCCUGCUCUGGCAGGCAGGCAAAGCUAGGCAGAAGAGGAUUCCCAGGAUCCUGGGUCUGUUCCCUGCCCCAGUGCUGCAGAACGGACUUGGGAGCCCUCCUUUGCCUGCUCCCGCGGGUCACCCAGCGAGUGCUGAGACCCCAUUUUCUGUCGAGGCGGGCCGAGUCUUCCCUUAUCCCCAGACGCCUAGCGGGCAGGGUUGGGCUGAAUCAAAUGGGAGCCCUCCAGACAUAAGGAGGCCAGAGGCUGCAAGGAGCGGGGUCGUGACCGCUUACACCCCUUCUCCACAGCCCGGCCCGACCUGGAGGGCCCCCGGGGCACUGGGCGGUGAGCCACCUCCUGGCAACUCUCGGUGCCGUCCCCUGCCCUCGCUCGAGGCCUCUUCUCCCCAGCACCGCUGUGGUGUGCCGGGAUCCUGAGCCUAGGCCUCCCGAUGUUCCCACCCGCAUGAUCCCUUCCCGCCACACGAUGCUCCGUUUUCUUCCGUUGUGAAUGCCGCGUCCUGUCCUGGUGACAGGAGAACAAUGUUGGUGAACGUCGCAGCGGGUGUCCGAGUGCUCCGUGUGCCCCUGAGAGCGGGUGGGAGCGGAAGCCUGAGCGGCCUGCGGCCUCCGGCGAUAGUGUGCUAUCUGCCGCUGCAGCGCGCGUCCGCGCGGCCUCUGGGCUAUUUCUGGCCAGGCCGCAGCACUGUGGUCGGUGCGGGCGUGGCAGGGGCGGGGCGGCCUUAUCGCUCGGCUCUCCCGCCUACGCCUCCCGCUGCAGAGUAAGCCGGGCUGCCGUCUUCUCGCCAUGGGCUCCGGGCCGCGCGGGGCGCUGAGCUUACUGCUCCUGCUGCUGGCCCCGCCGAGCCGCCCGGCCGCAGGUUGCCCGGCGCCCUGUAGCUGCGCGGGGACGCUCGUGGACUGCGGGCGCCGCGGGCUGACUUGGGCCUCGCUGCCGACCGCCUUCCCUGUCGACACAACCGAGCUGGUGCUGACCGGCAACAACCUGACGGCGCUGCCGCCGGGGCUGCUGGACGCGCUGCCCGCGCUGCGCACCGCACACCUGGGCGCCAACCCCUGGCGCUGCGACUGCCGCCUUGUGCCGCUGCGCGCCUGGCUGGCCGGCCGCCCCGAGCGUGCGCCCUACCGCGACCUGCGUUGCGUGGCGCCCCCAGCGCUGCGCGGCCGCCUGCUGCCCUAUCUGGCCGAGGACGAGCUGCGCGCCGCUUGCGCUCCCGGCCCGCUCUGCUGGGGGGCGCUGGCGGCGCAGCUUGCGCUGCUGGGCCUUGGGCUGCUGCACGCGUUGCUGCUGGUGCUGCUGCUGUGCCGCCUGCGGAGGCUGCGGGCCCGGGCCCGCGCUCGCGCCGCAGCCCGGCUGUCGCUGACCGACCCGCUGGUGGCCGAGCGAGCCGGAACCGACGAGUCCUGAGGAGAGAACCGGUGCGUCCUGAGGAGAGAACCGGCGCUGGGCAACACGGGCCUGCAAACUCGACAGGACCCUGCCCGAGGGGCCCUCGCGCCAACCUGGACCGGUCCCCGCCUCCUCCGCUGCCCAAUCUCUCAGACCCACCCCACCUGCAGGCCCAGACCACGUGGGACAGAACUCCUGCCCACCCUACCCCGAGGGAGGCGAACCCGCACUUCCAGGCUUGGGAGGACCAUGGGGCACAAUGCGGUCCAGACCCUGCUGCGUCUCCCUUCCAAACUCUGGUGCUGAAUAAACCCUUCUGAUCUGGUCU